AGUGAACGCUGGCGGUAGGCCUAACACAUGCAAGUCGAACGGCCACACAGUAAGAGCUUGCUCUUACGGGUGGCGAGUGGCGGACGGGUGAGGAAUACAUCGGAAUCUACUUUUUCGUGGGGGAUAACGUAGGGAAACUUACGCUAAUACCGCAUACGACCUACGGGUGAAAGCAGUGGAUCUUCGCACCUUGCGCGACUGAAUUAGCCGAUGUCGGAUUAGCUAGUUGGCUGGGUAAAGGCCCACCAAGGCGACGAUCCGUAGCUGGUCUGAGAGGAUGAUCAGCCACACUGGAACUGAGACACGGUCCAGACUCCUACGGGAGGCAGCAGUGGGGAAUAUUGGACAAUGGGCGCAAGCCUGAUCCAGCCAUACCGCGUGGGUGAAGAAGGCCUUCGGGUUGUAAAGCCCUUUUGUUGGGAAAGAAAAGCAGCAGGUGAAUACCCCGCUGUUCUGACGGUACCCAAAGAAUAAGCACCGGCUAACUUCGUG
This 492-nucleotide ribosomal RNA is filed under the name uncultured bacterium. RNAcentral's name for it is "partial 16S ribosomal RNA". It matches the Rfam family "Bacterial small subunit ribosomal RNA", at positions 29 to 507 of the family's 1533-position model. The record is from RNAcentral.